CUUCCCCGCCCGGGCACGUAACAGAGCUGGGAGCCUGGCUGCCAGGGGCGUGUUAUCGCGGGGGCAGCCUGGGAGCGCUGCUGCGCCGCGGCAGGAGAAACAGCCGAGGACACCCUGGAAGAGCAGGAGCACGUGGGCCUGCGAGAAUGGCGCCAACACCAGCCCUGCAAAGCCACAUUCCAAAGCCGGGCCAAGGACAGCCACCGUUGCCCCGCAGGCCUCAAGGAUGACGGUCAAGCCAGCCAAGGCCGCCUCCCUAGCCAGGAACCUCGCAAAGCGCAGGCGCACCUACCUGGGUGGCGCGGCUGGGCGGAGUCAAGAGCCGGAAGUCCCUUGUGCCGCAGUCCUUCCCGGGAAACCUGGGGACCGGAACUGCCCGGAGUUCCCGCCCCCAGACAGAACCCUGGGUUGCUGGGCAACCGAUGCGGCCCCCGCAGCUGGUCUCUGUGGUGCUGGGAGCGAGCCCAGUAUAGCUCCCACCUCCUGCGCUGGUAACCUCCCGUCCCGCCCGCCUCCCUUGUUGUCGCCUCUCCUCGCGUCGCGGAAUCCUUGCCCUUGGCACUACUUACAUCUCUCCGGGUCCCACAACACCUUAGCGCCCACCUGCUUCAAAGCCAAGCUCCACCGAAAGCGAGGCAGUCAGCCCCCGGACAUGGCCUCAGCGCUGACUGAUCGCACCUCUCGGGCCCCGAGCACCUACACCUACACCAGCCGGCCCCGAGCACUGCCCUGCCAGCGCAGCCGUUACCGGGACAGCCUGACGCAGCCAGAUGAAGAACCUAUGCAUUAUGGAAACAUAAUGUAUGACAGAAGGGUAAUUCGAGGUAACACUUAUGCACUCCAGACAGGGCCACUGCUCGGACGGCCUGAUUCUCUAGAGCUCCAGAGACAACGGGAGGCUAGGAAGAGGGCUCUUGCCAGAAAACAAGCCCAAGAGCAGCUCAGACCACAAACACCUGAACCUGUGGAAGGCAGAAAGCAUGUCGAUGUGCAAACAGAAUUAUACCUUGAAGAAAUUGCUGAUCGCAUAAUAGAAGUUGAUAUGGAAUGCCAAACAGAUGCAUUUUUGGACAGACCACCAACACCACUCUUUAUUCCUGCCAAAACUGGCAAAGAUGUGGCCACCCAAAUACUAGAAGGAGAGCUCUUUGACUUUGAUCUUGAAGUUAAACCAGUGUUAGAAGUUUUGGUGGGGAAGACAAUUGAGCAGUCUCUUCUGGAAGUAAUGGAAGAAGAAGAGCUGGCUAACCUGCGGGCCAGUCAGCGUGAGUAUGAAGAACUACGGAAUAGUGAACGUGCUGAAGUUCAACGACUUGAAGAGCAAGAGAGGCGACACCGAGAAGAAAAAGAACGGCGUAAGAAACAGCAGUGGGAAAUAAUGCACAAGCACAACGAGACAUCACAAAAAAUCGCCGCCCGAGCAUUUGCACAGCGUUACCUGGCUGACCUUCUCCCGUCUGUUUUUGGCAGCCUCAGGGAUAGUGGCUACUUUUAUGAUCCCAUUGAAAGAGAUAUUGAGAUAGGAUUUCUUCCAUGGCUAAUGAAUGAAGUUGAAAAAACCAUGGAAUAUAGCAUGGUGGGAAGAACAGUGCUUGACAUGUUGAUCCGUGAGGUGGUUGAAAAGAGGCUGUGUAUGUAUGAGCAUGGGGAAGACACACAUCAGUCUCCAGAACCCGAGGAUGAGCCUGGUGGUCCUGGAGCAAUGACAGAGUCACUGGAGGCCUCUGAAUUCCUGGAGCAGAGCAUGUCACAGACACGGGAGCUGCUUUUAGAUGGAGGCUACCUACAAAGAACAACAUAUGACAGAAGGUCAUCCCAGGAAAGGAAGUUUAUGGAAGAGAGAGAACUCUUAGGGCAAGAUGAAGAAACAGCAAUGAGGAAGUCCUUAGGGGAGGAAGAAUUGUCAUAGGAGGGAAGCUUCAAAGUCAUGAAACCAAUCAACAGCCAAGUCAGCAAGCAAUCAGAUUAUAACCACUAGGUGUCAGUGAAACCCUAAGGUAAGGUUGACUUGCUGCCAACUUCAUACAUAAUUUCGUGACCAUAAAAGACCUUGGUGAGCACAGUUCAAAAAUAUAUUGUAUUCCUUGGAAUCUUCUAGACUCUCAAUGAAUAUUUUAUCUCGCCCUAAAGUUCUCUGCCAGCUCUGUAGGGGUGCCAGACUCUUAAAAUGUUCAUUUUAGAGUGGACUUUAGUUGUCACAUACUUCACUAUCUAAUUCAGGAUCCUUAACAGAUGGUCAGUUAGUCUUUGUUUCAUCACUUUAAGGAUGAGGUUUUCACUUUAUGAGCUGCUGUAGAUAGCAAUUCUGUCUUACUUGGUUUUGUCUCCACAGGCCUGGGCUAUGGUAGAUGCUUAGCCAAUAACAUUGUUGGACAGUUCUCAUUAUUAGAAAUUUCUCUAUACUGAUUCAAAACCUGCCUGUUAUAACCUUUGCUUAUUGGUCAUAAUCAUGAGGGCAUGAUUAUGGUAGAGGGAGACAAAAUGAUUUUAUUGCCAUAUCAGCCCUAUCAUGUACCCCAAUAAAUUUUUCUUUAUCCCCCCCAAGUUUUUUUUCUCCCAAUGAGAUUCACCACUCUUCCCAAUUAUUCCUCAUAUGGCACAGUUUUGGAACUUCCCCACUCACCAUCCUGGUUACUAUUACUUUUAAAUGGCUAUUUGGUCAAAGUUUCUGUUAAAACAUGUUUCCCAGAAUUAGGUAGACAACUAUAGGUGUAAUCUGACUCGGCAAUCACCCAUCACCAAAUCACUUUCUCUAAACUCAAAUGCCUAGAAAUCAUAUCUUCCAGGACAUCGGAGAGAAAAAGCCAAAAUGAGUUUUGAGCAGCUGCAAUGUCACGAAGUCAACAGACUUUGCAGUGGACCCUCCAAGCCUAUCUUAACAUGUUGCUAACCAACUAGGCUAUUUCAUUAUUGACCCUACAAUAUGUUAGAUGUAACAUUAACCAGGGAAGAGGGACUGCUGUGGGAAAACUCAUAGCACUAACAUAAGAGAAAUGGCAGGAAAAAAUAGGCAACUCAAAAAGUAUAGCAGUCUGGAGCAAAAAUUGAGUAUUCUUCAGCAUGUCCUGACUACAUGUUUAUAUUAAAGUACAAUACAGAAAUUAAUGUGUAUGGACAAAGCACCUCUGGAAUGGUGGAAUAAGGAUCUCUGAAAAUCUGUUCCUCCAUAAAAGCAAUGUGAAUGCAGGCCAGAAUUGCCAAAAUCAGUAUUUUCAGAACUCUAGAAAUUAACCAACGGCUUGCAACAAUGACAAACAUUUAUUAAAGAAAAAUGAUUGAAUCUUAGUAAGAACAGUAAGCUUCAUGGCAUUUUAACUUGACCUAUUUCCAUCCCGCUCUUCCCAACUCCACAGUAGCCUUGAAAGUCAGUAACCAAGAAACAGAAGCUUAGGAGCUAUUGAAAGGAGCAGAAAGGCUUGGUGCCUCCCCACCCCCACAAUAAAACCGCAUCUCCAGACAGUUGUCACUACUUGGCAUCUGUGGCAGCUCUCUGGAAAAGCCCAUUUACAGAGGCAUGUCUUUAUUUAACCUGACUCAGAGCUUUCUCAGUGACAAAAGUCCUGACAUCAAGGCAUUAAGAACAAAAAGCAGCAGCAAUUGUUUAACAUCACAGCUGCCUGAGGUAGAGCAAAUAAGAGACUGGCAAAAAAAAAUUGAAAGUCUUGAGAGUGCAGUGGUGAUAAGGGGCUUUAAAAAGCUUUGACAUUUGGCUGGGCACGUUUCUCACGCCUGUAAUCCCAGCACUUUGGCAGGCCAAGGCAGGUGAAUCACGAGGUCAGGAGUUCAAGACCAGCCUGGCCAACAUGAUGAAAUCCCAUCUCUACUAAAAAUAAAAAAUAAAUAAACUGGCAAGGCAUAGUGGCGGGUGCCUGUAAUCCCAGCUACUCAGGAGGCUGAGACAGGAGAAUCACUUGAACCCAGGAGGCGGAGGUUGCAGUGAGCCAAGAUCACGCCACUGCACUCCAGCCCAGGUGACAGAGUGAGACUCCAUCUCAAAAAAUGAAAAAAAAAGAAAAGCUUUGACAUUCUCGGGAAACUACAUAUAGGGUACAUGUGUAGGACUGCAUGCAUGCCCAGAAAAGAGCUAAGAAGGCCUGAAUCACUCACUUCUGACUGACCUUAAGGAUCUGCACAACCAGGAAUUGAAAGCUAAGACAGAGCUAUAAACUGCCAAAAUAGUAAAGGCAUGCCCAACACUUAUAGAGCCACUCAACAAAGGAUGGAAAACUUACUGGUUCAGGGCACUUAAGGAAAUCUCUAAUCAUCAGCUGACUGCUAAGCUAACUAAGCAGAGACUUCAGUGGCCACACACAACAAAGAAUACAAAUUUUACAAAAUUUUUCCAGAGAAGUCAUUAAACAAAGAAUAACAAACAGCAACAGAAAACCCAGGUUGGACGGGUGGUACAAGAAUAUAACUUUCAAAGUUACUACAUUAUAAUUAUUUAAAGUGUUUAAUUUUCAGCAAAAAAAAAGAAAAAAGUACAAGGCAGGCAAAAAAUAGGAACAUAUGGCAGUCAGAAAAAGCAGUCAAUAGAAACUGUUCCCAAGGAAGUCCAGAUUUUUAACUUACUAGACAAAGACUUUAAUUGGCUAUUAUAUAUUCAAAGAACUAAAGAAAACCAUGUCUAAAGAAUUAAAGUAAGUAUGAGAAAGAUGUCUCACCAAAUGUGAAUAUCAGUUAAGAGAGAAAAAACAUUUUUUAAGAACCAAAUAGAAAUUCUGGCAUUGAAAAGUGCAAUAAUUGAAAUGAUAAAUUUUCUUCAGGGCCUUAAUAGCAAAUUUGAUCUGGCAGAAGAAAAUAUCCAUGAAAUUGAAGUUAAGUCCAUUGAGAUAAUCCACUCUGAGGAACAGAAAAAUGAAUGAAGAAAAAUGAGCAAAGCCUCAGAGACCUGUGGGACACCAUCAAGCAUAUCAACGUACACAUCCCCAGAAGGAGAGGAGAGAAGAGAGAAAGGGGCAGAAUAUCUGAAGAGAUCAUGGCUUGAAAACUUACUAAAUUUGAUGAAAAAUGUUGAUCUUCACAUUCAAGACGUUCAGUGAACUCCAUAUAGGAGAAAUUCAAGAGAUCCACAAUUAGACAUAUGCUACUCAAACUGUCAAGAGACAGAGACAAAUAGAAUCUUGAAAGUAGCAAGACAAAAAUUACUUUUCAUGUACAUGGGCUCCUCAAUAACAUUAACAGCUGACUUCUCAUCCCACAUCAUGAAGGCCAAAAGGCAAUGGGAUCAUAUAUUCAAAGUGCUAAAAGAAAAAACUGCCAUUCAAGAAUUCUGUAUCCAGCAAAACUAUCCUUUAAAAUGAGGAGAAAUUAAGACAUUCCCAUAUAAUCAAAAACUGAGAGAACUUGUCAUUAGCACACCUACCCUACAAGAAAUACUAAAGGGAGUCCUUCAUACUGAAAUGAAAGGAUACUAGACAGCAAUUCAAAUCCACAUUAAGAAAUAAGGAGCACCAAUAAAGACUGUAUAUAUGUAUAUAAUUGAUAGUAUAAAUUUACUUUUCUUUGUAAUUCUUCUGUCAUUUAAAAGACAGUUACAUCAUAAAGCAAUCAUUAUAAAACUGUAUUAAUGGGCUUCUAAUGUAUAAAGAUGUAAUUUGUAGGGUGGAUCACAAGGUCAUGAGAUUGAGACCAUCCUGGCCAACAUGGUGAAACCCUGUCUCUACUAAAGUACAAAAAUUAGCUGGGUGUGGUGGCGCACACCUGUAGUCCCAGCUACUCGGGAGGCUAAGGCAGGAGAAUUGCUUGAAUCCAAGAGAUGGAGGUUGCAGUAAGCCGAGAUCACACCACUGCACUCCAGCCUAGUGACAAAGCAAGACUCUGUUUCACAGUAAAUAAAUAAAUAAAUAAUAAUACUACUACAAAGGAAGGAGAAGGAACAGAAUAAUACUAGAGAAAACUUUUUGUAUACUCUUGAAAUUAGAUUACUAUUAAUCUGAAGUAGAUUGUCUUAAAUUAAGAUGUUAAUUGUAAUCCCCAGAGCAGCUACUAAGAAAGUAUCUUUUUACAAAAUAGUAAAAAUAGCCAGGUGUGGUGGCUCACACCUGUAAUCCCAACACUUUGGGAGACUGAGGUGGGCAGAUCACUUGAGGUCAGGAGUUCAAGACCAGCCUGGCCAACAUGGUGAAACCUGAUCUCUAUUAAAAAUACGCAAAAUUAGCCAGGUAUGGUGGUACAUGCCUGUAAUCCCAGCUAUUCAGGAGGCUGAGGCAGGAGAAUUGCUUGAACCCAGAUGGUGGAGGUUGCAGUGAGCUGAAGUCAUGCCACUGCACUCCAGCCUGGGCAACAGAGUGAGACUCCAUCUCAAAAAAAUAAAAAAUAAAAAACAGUAAAAGAAACAAGAGUAUUAAAAGCUUUUCCUGGAAGAUACCCAUUUAAUGCAAAAGAGAGCAAUAAUGGAGGAAUAAAGGUACAAAAAAUACAUAAGACAUGUAAAAAUCCAAAUAGCAAAAUGGUAAAUUAAAAUCCUAGCUUAUCAGUAAUUUAAUCAAAAGUAAAUGGCUUAAACACCCUAACCAGAAGGCAAAGAUUGCCAGAAUGAGGGUUUUUAUUAAAAAUAACCCAACAAUACUAUUAGAGACACACUUUAGAUUCAAAGACACAAAUUGGUUGAAAAUAAAAGGAUGGACAAAGAUAUGGCAUGCAAACAGUAACCAAAAAAGAGCUGGGGUAGCUACAUUAAUCUCAGACAAAAUGGACUUUAAGAUAAAAAUAGUUACAAGAGGUGAAGAAAUGUAUUUUAUGAUAAAAAGGUCAAUCUUCAGAAAGACAACAAUUAUAAACACAUAUGCACCUAACAACAGGGCUCCAAAAUACAUGAAGCAAAAAGUGGUAGAAUUAAAGGGAGUAUUAGACAACUCAAAGCAAUAGAUAUUUCAAAACCCCACUUUCAAUAAUGGAUAGACUAAGGAGAAGAUCAGCAAAGAAAAAAAUGAUGUGAAAUAUAUUAUAAACUAAUUAAUCUUAGACAUUUAUAGAAGUACUUAACAACAGAAUACACAUUCUUCUCAAGUGCACAUGGAACAUUCUCCAGGAUUAUGUUAGACCAAAAAUAAGCCUUAGUAAAUUUUAAAAUAGUGAAAAUUGCACAAUGUAUGUUCUCCAAUCACAAUACAUUUAAGUUAGAAGUCAAUAAUAAAAAGAAGUUUGGGAAAUUCACAAAUGUGUGGAAAUUAAACAAUAUACCCCUAAAUAAUAAAUGGUUCAAAGGAGAAAUCAUAGAAAAAUUAGAAAGUAAUUUGAGGUGAAUAGAAACAGAAAUAGGCCAGAUGCUGUGGCUCGUGCCUGUAAUCCCAACCAAGGUGAGUGGAUUGCCGAGGAGUUCAAGACCAGCCUGGGCAACCUGGCAAAACCCUGUUUCUACAAAAAAAAAUACAAAAAUUAGCCAGGCAUGGUGGUACAUGCAUGUAGUACCAACUACUUGAGAGGCUAAGAUAGGAGAAUCAUCUGAGCCCAGGGAGUUCAAGGCUACAGUGAUGCAUGAUCAUACCACUGCACUCCAGCUUGUCAACAGAGUGAGACCAUGUCUUUAAAAAAAAAAAAAUACAAUAUGCCAAAACUUAUGGAUGCAUCUAAAGCAAUGCUUAGACAGAAAUUUAUAACUCUGAAAGUCUAUAUUUAAAACAGAAGAAACAUCCUAAAUCAAUAACCUAAACUCCCACCUUAAAAAACGAAAAGAAGAGGAAAAUAAAUGCAAAGCCAGUGAAGAAAGAAAAUAAUAAAGAUUAGAGCAGAAAUAAAUGAAAUAGAGAAUAGAAAAACAAUUGAGAAAAUCACUAAAACCACAAAUUUGGUUUUUUUUUGCAAAGAUUAACAAAAUUGACAAACCCAAAACUAAACUGACCAAGAAAAAAUAAGAACACUCAAAUUAUUAAAUUAGGAAUGAAGGAAAUGAUAUUUUACCAGCCCUACGUUAAUAAAGAUUAUUAUGGGAAUAUUAUGAACAACUGUAGGCCACCAAAUUAAAUAACUUAGAUGACAUUGACAAAUUCCUAGAAAGAUACAAUUUACCAAAACUGACUCAAAAAGAAAUAGAAAACCUGAAUAGAUCUGUAACAAAGAGAUUGGAUUAUUAAUUUUUGAAACUUCCCACAAAGGAAACCCCAGACUCAGACAGCUUCACCGAUGAAUUCUAGUAAACAUCUAAAGAAAAAUUAAGGUCAAACUUUCACAAACUAUGAAAAAGAAGAGGGGAACAGUUCCCACCUCAUUCUGUGAGACCAGUUUACCCUAAUACCAGAAUCAGGCAAAGACAUCACAAGAAAACUGUAGACCAAUAUCCUUUAAAUAUAUAAAUGCAAAAAUCCUCAGUGAAAUACUAGCAAACUGAAUUUAGCAACAUACGAAAAGGAUGACCAAGUGGGAUUUAUCCAAGGAAUAUAAGGUUGUGAAAUCCAAAAGUCAAUCAAUAUAAUAUGUUAUAUUCAUUACACAAGUUUACCCAUAUAACAAAUCUGCACAUGUACCCUGAACCUAAAAUAAGAGUUUAAAAAAUAAAAUUAAAAGAAAAGAAUAUAUGCCAUAUUAAUAUAAUAACAGAAACCACAUGAUCAUCUCAAUAGAUGCAGAAACAGCAUUUGACAAAAUUCAACACACUUUCAUAUUAAAAACAGUCAACAAAAUUAGGAACAGACAGAAACUUCCUCAAUCCUGUACAAGGCAUCUAGGAAAAUUCCACAACAUAAUACUUAACGGUGAAAGAUUGAAUGUUUUCCUUAUAAGAUCAGGAAUUAGCCAAAGACACCUUAUCUUGCCACUUUAUUCAACAUUGUACUGGAAGUUCUAGUCAUGGCAUUUAGGCAAGAAAAAGAAAAGUCAUCCGGAUUGGAAAGGAAAAAUUAAAAUAUCUUUAGUUGCAGAAUUUUAAGCAAUCUAUGAAAACACUAUUAGAAGUAAUACAUGAGUUCAGCAAGUUUGCAGACCACAAAAUCAAUAGUUUAUAAAAAUCGCAUUUUUAUACAUUGGCAAUGAACAAUCUGAAAGGAAAUUAAGAAAACAAUCUCAUUUACAAAAGCAUUGAAAAGGAUUAAAUACCUAAGAAUAAAUUUAACCAAAGAGAUGCAAGACUUAUACAGUACACUGAAAACUACUUAACACUCAUGAAGGAAAUUAAAGAAGACCUAAAUAAAUGGAAAGACAUUACAUAUUCAUGUUGGGACACUUAAUGAUGUAAAGAUGGCAGGACUCCCCAGAGUGAUCUCCAGAUUCAAUGCAAUACCAAUCAAAAUCCCAACAGACUUUUUUUACGGAAAUGGAAAAGCCAGUCCUAAAACCCAUAUUGAAUUACAGGGAAACCUUAGUAGCCAAACAAUCUUGAAAAAGAACAAAAUUAUAGGACUCACACUUCCCAACUUCAAAGCUACGGUAUUCAAAACUGUGUGGUAAGGGAUAAGGAUAGAAAUAUAGAUCAAUGGAAUACUACAGAGUCUAGAAAUAAAUCCAUACAUCUAUGGUCAAUUAAUUUUUGACAUAUGUUCAAGAUCAUUCAAUAAGGGAAGAAUGAUCUUUUCAAUAAAUGGUAAUGGAACAACUAGAUACCCACAUGCUAAAGAAUUAAGUCAAAUCCCACUUCACACCAUUUACAAAAAUUUACUCCAAAUAGAUUAUAGACCUAAGUGUAAGAGCUAGAACUCAAGACAACAUAACAGUAAAACAUUGUGACUGUGGAUUAGACAAUGGUUUCUUAUAUAUGACAUCAAAAGCACAAAUGGUGAAAGAAGAAAAGAUAAAUUGGAUUUCAUCAAAAUUUAAAACUUGUGCUUCAAAGGACACCAUCAAGAAAGUGAAUAGAUAACUCAGAGAAUGGAUGAAAAUGUUAUCAAAGCAUAUAUCUAACAAAGAAUUUAUUAUCCAGAAUAUACAAAGAAUUACAACUCGACAAUAAAAUGACAACCUAUUUUAAAAAUGAGUAAAGGGUUUAAAGAGACAUUUCUCUAAAGAAUUUAAACAAAUAGCCAAUAAACACAUGGAAAAUGUUCAAUAACAUUAGUCAUUAAGGAAUUGCAAAUCAAAACUACUUCAUACCCAUUAAGGUGGCUAAAAUUUAAAAAGACAGACAAUAACUAGUUAUUAAGGAUGAGGAGAAAUUGGAACACUCAUUCAAGCAAAUAAAGUUAAUGAUUUAUGACAUGACACUGGUCACAUCUGGACUCCAGGUCCUAAAAAUGAGUUGAAGACCAUACAAUCACAAUACAGAAAAAGACUUGAGAAUCCAUCUAAUCCCAUUGAUCCUUAGAUUUGAUUCAGUCCACAAAAACUAUCAAUCCAUGGCAAAAACUGAAAAAUAAAGACAAUACUAUAAGUUUUUCCCAAUUAAAGAACUGUCCUUUAUUCUGAGAUUAUAUUAGAGGAGAGGGUGGUGUGAGAAAUUAAAGAUAAUAAAGAGUAGUUGUUCAGAAUUUUUUCCCCUAAUUGUCCAUUCUUAAAAUUGUUUUUGAAAAGUUAUUGGUCUGUGGAACCCAAAAGUCUUGGAACAUUUGUCCAUACCUCCCUCAUUGUUUGAAUAGGGUACAUAUAUUAAUGAUUCCUGAUAACUAGGAAAAGUUAUUUUUAUCAGGGGUAAGAGGAGGGGUAGAAAAUUUACUUUCUAGUAUAUCACUUUUGGGAUCUAUGGCUGUUAAAAAUUGUUUUCAUUGUUAUUUAUUCCAUUUUAUUUUAUUGAGGCUAUUUGGAAGUUACUAGAAAUUAUGGCAUAAUUCCAGCACUUUGGGAGGCCAAGGCAAGAGGAUUGCUUGAGCCCAAGAGUUUGAGACCAGCCUGGACAACAGAGUGAGACCCUGUCUCUACAAAAGAAUUUUGUAAAUUAGCCUGGCUUGGUGGCACAUGCCUGUAGUCCCACCUGCUUGGGAGGCUGAAGUGGGAAGAUUGCUUGAGCCUGGGAAGUCAAGGCUGCAGUGAGUUGUUGAGCCAUGAUUGCACCAUUGCCCUGCAGCCUAGGCAACAUUGUGAAACCUAUCAAAAGAAAGAAAAGAAAAAAGAAAAGGGAAAAAGAAAGAAAGAAAAGAAAGAAGGGAGGGAGGGAGGGAAGGAGAAAGAAAGAAAGAGGGAAAGAGAAAGAGACUGGGAAGGGAAGGGAAGGGAAGGGAGAGGAGGGGAGGGGAGGGGAAGGGAAGGGGGAAGAAGGGGGAGGGAAGGGAAGGGGGAAGGAGGGGGGAGGGAGGGAGGGAGGAAGGAAGGAAGACUGUGAAACCCUAUCUGAAAGAAAGAAAGGAAGGAAGGAGAAGGAAGGAAGGAAAGAGAGAGGAGGGAGGGAGGAAGAGAGGAAGGAGAUAAAUUAUGAAAAAGAAAAAAGAUCUCUCCUAAUUUCACCACCAAAAUUGAGUAAGAAUUAUCACUUAUAACAUUGCCUUUCAGUCUUUUUAUGUAUAUGUUUGUAAUUCCAUAAAAUUGGGAUGAUGAAUAUAAUUUUAUUUUCUGUUUUUAUCAUUAAAUAUAUUUUGUGUUUUUCAUAUUAUUCAGUAUUCCUUACAGAUAGUACCUAAAGUGCAAUUAUUGAUUUAAUGAUGUCCUACUGCUGGUCAUUGAAGCUUUCCUAAUUUUUUACUCUUCUAAAAUUAUAAACAACAUUUUCAAUCAUAAA
RNA transcript from Homo sapiens (human), 11578 nucleotides. It is a transcript of the gene named radial spoke head 3, with no coding region annotated. The record is from RefSeq and is marked reviewed. NCBI's taxonomy places the organism in Eukaryota, Metazoa, Chordata, Mammalia, Primates, Hominidae. The transcript has 9 exons.